GUCAAUCUUACUGAUUUAAUGUUAUAGUGCUGUGGGGGAAAUAUUUUGUAAUGAAACUGAAUUAAAAUGUAUACUUUUUUAGGUAACCUCCCUAGUAAAAAUUGGCGGAAGUACGCCAUAUGAGUUUGUUACGCGCUGCUUAACUAAUUUAAUAACAAACAGUUUGGCUGUUUGGAUCCCAAACAAAAUCUGCUCUCCUCCAAUAUGUUUUAGGACUUAUUGAACGCUAUAGCAGUUCGUCAAAAUUCUGAGGUCACGACGAAAAUGACGGGAAAAAAAGUUCAGAAUUGGUUGAGGCGAGCGGAUGAGCACCUAAAAUAUUUUUUGUUGUUUUUGUUUCUGGUUUUCCGUACAUAAAAUUAUUUUGUAUUUAAGUUAUUUUGUUUUAUUUAGGUAAUAUUUAUAAUAAAUUUAAAGGUAUUCUUGUUUAAGUUCUUAAUGUUUAGUUUAGUUUUAGUCUGAUUUUUUUGGUUACUUUAUUAUUAGUUUAGUAGUUUAUCUUUUGUUUACUUUUAGUUAUUUAGGUUUUUAAUAUAUCCCAUGUCCCUA
This is a long non-coding RNA of Dendroctonus ponderosae (mountain pine beetle), 549 nucleotides long. RefSeq lists it as uncharacterized. The transcript has 2 exons. The record is from RefSeq and is a predicted model, not a curated record. NCBI's taxonomy places the organism in Eukaryota, Metazoa, Arthropoda, Insecta, Coleoptera, Curculionidae.